Long non-coding RNA from Talpa occidentalis (Iberian mole), 176 nucleotides. RefSeq lists it as uncharacterized. The record is from RefSeq and is a predicted model, not a curated record. Lineage: Eukaryota; Metazoa; Chordata; Mammalia; Eulipotyphla; Talpidae. The transcript is spliced from 3 exons.
GCCGUUUCCUUGUUCCAUUUUAAUGAAGAGGAAAAGCCCCUACUCACUGGAUUCCAUAAAUGAUAUGUUUCAGAUUCCAAAUGGAAGCACAUUUUUGCCAAGAAUUUUCCUCAUAACAUCUUAAAAAGUCUACACAUUUAAAGUUUGGUGCUUGUACAGGGAAACUGGAGAGUCUG